AACACUCACUACACCACCAUGAAUCUUCUUCUCCUCCUUUUCUUCUUGUUCAUCAUCUCUUCAUCCAACACCACCAUAUCCUUAUCCUUCUUUCAUCUCCUCACCACCAACACGUCAUUAACAACACCAAUCAAAAGAAAAAGUAAAAAUCAGAUCUACAAAUUUGGGGAUUAAUUGAAUUUUUGCAAAAUUUGUACAUAAUCAAACACAAGACACCCAUCAACCUAAACAUCACAUGAACCCCAUAGACCUCCGUCUGCAAAACCACCACCAACCACCUUUCCCUUGCUUCUCCUUCCUCCGGUUCAGCACAGUACAAACCUAUAACUUCUCUCAACAAACAUACUAGUAUACUACUCAAAACUAAACAAAACAAAUAUAAAAGGAGAAAAAAUUCAUGAAACCUAAUUCAUAUCUCAAUGAAGAAGAUGAAACCCAAAUUCUGCCUCAACUCAAUGUAUUUCAAAAAUCCGUUCAUGAACGAACUAGAACCCAAAUGAUUAGAUCUAGAGAAAGAGAAGAGGUGACGAUGGUGUUUGAGAUGGAGAAGAGGUAAUAGAGAGAAGGAGAUUUAAUGAGAGUGUGAAUUUUUAAAUUUGGAGAGAAGUUGUUGAAACUGGAAACUGAAAUUGAAAUCUAGAGGAGUGGGAGGAGAUAGAAGAAGUUGUGAGUGG
Molecule: long non-coding RNA, 674 nt
Filed under: Medicago truncatula (barrel medic)
Lineage: Eukaryota; Viridiplantae; Streptophyta; Magnoliopsida; Fabales; Fabaceae
Description: long non-coding RNA (MTRU_LNC005647)
Source: RNAcentral